AUGGGCAAAGCGCGGGGACACUACACCGACAUGGUGUUGGAAGAGCGGGAGGCCGCGUUCCGGCAGGCGCAUGCCAACCAUAUGUACAAUCAUCGCCUCCUCGACGAGCACCCGCAUGCAAAGGAGCUAAUUGCUGGCACGAGCAUCAUGGCGGACAUGGAUGAGCAGAAGACAAUGCUCCUAUCCUAUGCCACCGUCCAGGAAAUCCGCCGUGAGUUAUGGCAGCACCGCAUCCUGCAGGCGGAAAAAGAAGCCACGUUAGCGGAGAUUGACACGGAGGCAGAGGAAUUUGACAGGGGCACUGACGACGUCACCAGAUCUGCACGCACCCCCCCCCCCUACCCCGCGGCCCCCGCCGCCCAUACUGACGAUGCGGACACGUCCGGUUUGCAUGCAUUUUGUGUGGUUUGUUGA
Molecule: ribosomal RNA, 414 nt
Filed under: Triticum aestivum (bread wheat)
Lineage: Eukaryota; Viridiplantae; Streptophyta; Magnoliopsida; Poales; Poaceae
Description: partial small subunit ribosomal RNA
Source: RNAcentral